UGGGGAAUUUUGGACAAUGGGGGAAACCCUGAUCCAGCCAUCCCGCGUGUGCGAUGAAGGCCUUCGGGUUGUAAAGCACUUUUGGCAGGAAAGAAACGUCGCGGGUUAAUACCCCGCGAAACUGACGGUACCUGCAGAAUAAGCACCGGCUAACUACGUGCCAGCAGCCGCGGUAAUACGUAGGGUGCAAGCGUUAAAUCGGAAUUACUGGGCGUAAAGCGUGCGCAGGCGGUUCGGAAAGAAAAGAUGUGAAAUCCCAGAGCUUAACUUUGGGAAACUGCAUUUUUUAAACUACCGGGCUAGAGUGUGUCAGAGGGAGGUGGAAAUUCCGCGUGUAGCAGUGAAAUGCGUAGAUAUGCGGAGGAACACCGAUGGCGAAGGCAGCCUCCUGGGAUAACACUGACGCUCAUGCACGAAAAGCGUGGGGAGCAAAACAGGAUUAGAUACCCUGGUAGUCCACGCCCUAAAACGAUGUCAACUAGCUGUUGGGGCCUUCGGGCCUUGGUAGCGCAGCUAACGCGUGAAGUUGACCGCCUGGGGAGUACGGUCGGCAAGAUUAAAAACUCAAAAGGAAAUUGG
RNAcentral lists this ribosomal RNA (579 nucleotides) under uncultured bacterium. Its description in RNAcentral is "partial 16S ribosomal RNA". It matches the Rfam family "Bacterial small subunit ribosomal RNA", at positions 355 to 913 of the family's 1533-position model. The record is from RNAcentral.